GUGUCAGCAGCCGCGGUAAUACGUAGGGACCGAGCGUUGUCCGGAUUCAUUGGGCGUAAAGAGCUCGUAGGCGGCUGUUCAAGUCGAACGUGAAAACUCGGAGCUCAACUCCGAGCCUGCGUUCGAUACUGGAUGGCUAGAGUCUGGUAGGGGGAUCUGGAAUUCCUGGUGUAGCGGUGGAAUGCGCAGAUAUCAGGAGGAACACCGGUGGCGAAGGCGGGAUCCUGGGCCAGUACUGACGCUGAGGAGCGAAAGCGUGGGGAGCAAACAGGAUUAGAAACCCUCGUAGUCC
Molecule: ribosomal RNA, 292 nt
Filed under: uncultured bacterium
Lineage: Bacteria
Description: partial 16S ribosomal RNA
Rfam family: Bacterial small subunit ribosomal RNA
Source: RNAcentral